GGCAGACUUGGAGACGUGCGUCCCGAACCUGGCGCAGCAGACACCGCCCCCUGGUCAGGCCGCGGGGGAGACGCAGGCGAAUCGACGGGCUCGCACUGGGGAGCACCCUCCCCCCGCCGCCGCCAGAUCUGCAGGUCGGGAAGCGCCAAGUCUCCCGGGUCGCAAGAAAACCCGGACCAGCACGUUCAUCACCUCCUUGCUCCCGCUGCUGCCAUCUUGACAGUUUUCCCCCCUUCGCUCAAGUCCUUUAAAAACACUAGCGGGAGAGAAGAGGGGCGCGCAAACCGAGUCACGGGGAGGGAAAAGGGAAGCGCCUGGCCCAGCUCGGAAGCAGAUCCGGAGUCACCGGGAAGGCGGCCGCCCCGCUGCACAGCUCCGGCGCCUACCUCGGUUCCUUCCCUUCAGGGACGGGGGGAGAGGACGCACAAUCCCGCGCGGGCCCGGGGCACGGCGAA
This is a long non-coding RNA of Myotis lucifugus (little brown bat), 455 nucleotides long. RefSeq lists it as uncharacterized. NCBI's taxonomy places the organism in Eukaryota, Metazoa, Chordata, Mammalia, Chiroptera, Vespertilionidae. The transcript is spliced from 2 exons. The record is from RefSeq and is a predicted model, not a curated record.